GAUGAACGCUGGCGGCAUGCUUUACACAUGCAAGUCGAACGGUAACAGGUUAAGCUGACGAGUGGCGAACGGGUGAGUAAUGCAUCGGAACGUGCCCGAUCGUGGGGGAUAACGCAGCGAAAGCUGCGCUAAUACCGCAUACGAUCUGAGGAUGAAAGCGGGGGACCGUAAGGCCUCGCGCGAUCGGAGCGGCCGAUGUCAGAUUAGGUAGUUGGUGGGGUAAAGGCCCACCAAGCCGACGAUCUGUAGCUGGUCUGAGAGGACGACCAGCCACACUGGGACUGAGACACGGCCCAGACUCCUACGGGAGGCAGCAGUGGGGAAUUUUGGACAAUGGGCGAAAGCCUGAUCCAGCAAUGCCGCGUGCAGGAAGAAGGCCUUCGGGUUGUAAACUGCUUUUGUACGGAGCGAAAAGGUCCUUUCUAAUACAAGGGGCUCAUGACGGUACCGUAAGAAUAAGCACCGGCUAACUACGUGCCAGCCGCCGCAGUAA
RNAcentral lists this ribosomal RNA (493 nucleotides) under uncultured bacterium. RNAcentral describes it as "partial 16S ribosomal RNA". It matches the Rfam family "Bacterial small subunit ribosomal RNA", at positions 28 to 523 of the family's 1533-position model. The record is from RNAcentral.